CCAACCGGGAUUGCCUCAGUAACGGCGAGUGAAGCGGCAGCAGCUCAAAUUUGAAAUCCGAUCCCUCGGGGUUCGAGUUGUAAUUUGGAGAGGGUGCUUCGGGUCAGGCGUCGGCUUAAGUGCCUUGGAACAGGCCGUCGUAGAGGGUGAGAAUCCCGUCUGGAACCGGCGACCAAGCCCGCGAAGAAGCCCCUUCGACGAGUCGAGUUGUUUGGGAAUGCAGCUCUAAAUGGGUGGUAAAUUUCAUCUAAAGCUAAAUAUUGGCCAGAGACCGAUAGCGCACAAGUAGAGUGAUCGAAAGAUGAAAAGCACUUUGGAAAGAGAGUCAAACAGUACGUGAAAUUGUUGAAAGGGAAGCGCUGGCGACCAGACCUGCCCGUGAGCGAUCACCCGCGAUUCCGUCGCGGGGUACUCGUGCACGAACAGGCCAGCAUCGAUUCGGGCGGCGGGACAAAGGGCUCGGGAACGUAGCUCCUCUCCGGGGGAGUCUUAUAGCCCGGGCCGGCAUGCCGCCCGCCUGGAUCGAGGAUCGCGCUCCGGCUCGGAUGCUGGCGUAAUGGUCGUCAGCGACCCGUCUUGAAACACGGACCAAGGAGUCUAACAUCUAUGCGAGUGUUUGGGUGUCAAACCCGGGCGCGGAAUGAAAGUGAACGGAGGUGGGAACCCUCCGUCCCGGGGGGCGCACCAUCGACCGAUCCAGAUGUCUUCGGAUGGAUUUGAGUAGGAGCAUAGCUGUUGGGACCCGAAAGAUGGUGAACUAUGCCUGAAUAGGGUGAAGCCAGAGGAAACUCUGGUGGAGGCUCGCAGCGGUUCUGACGUGCAAAUCGAUCGUCAAAUUUGGGUAUAGGGCGAAAGAC
Molecule: ribosomal RNA, 857 nt
Filed under: Spilonema sp. Bjork 19757 (GZU)
Lineage: Eukaryota; Fungi; Ascomycota; Lecanoromycetes; Peltigerales; Coccocarpiaceae
Description: eukaryotic LSU rRNA
Rfam family: Eukaryotic large subunit ribosomal RNA
Source: RNAcentral